GUACUUUUCAAAAUUAUCCCUUCCUCUUCCAUUUUUCCAUUCGCAUCUGUCAACGGCCUUCUCUGCAACCGUCCUUUUUUCGUAUUUCUCUCAAGAUUAAAAACCCUAAUUUGACCGCCAAAAACUCCGAAAUCUUCAAACACCGUCACCGGAAAAUGUCCACGUCACGCAGAUCCGUCCCUCUUCUGAAAACCCUUAUAGCGCAAAGAACCCAUCGCCGAACCGUGACUUACAUGCCCCGACCGGGGGAUGGAGCCCCGAGACCCGUAACUCUAAUCCCAGGAGACGGUAUCGGACCGUUGGUGACAAACGCGGUGGAACAAGUGAUGGAAGCAAUGCACGCGCCGGUUUACUUCGAGAAGUACGAGGUUCACGGCGACAUGAAGCGCGUGCCGCAGGAAGUCAUAGAUUCAAUAAAGAAGAACAAAGUUUGUCUGAAAGGAGGGUUGAAGACUCCAAUGGGAGGUGGAGUUAGUUCACUGAAUAUGCAAUUGAGAAAAGAAUUGGAUUUAUAUGCUUCGUUGGUCAAUUGCUGUAACUUACCGGGAUUGCCAACCAGACAUGAAAACGUGGACAUCGUGGUAAUUAGGGAGAAUACGGAAGGGGAAUACUCGGGGCUCGAACAUGAGGUCGUGCCUGGCGUUGUUGAGAGUCUUAAGGUGAUAACAAAGUUUUGUUCAGAGCGGAUCGCAAAAUAUGCAUUCGAGUAUGCCUAUUUAAACAAUCGAAAGAAGGUUACUGCUGUUCAUAAGGCCAAUAUAAUGAAACUCGCUGAUGGUUUGUUUUUAGAGUCUUGCCGGGAAGUGGCAACGAAAUAUCCUAGCAUCAAGUACAAUGAAAUUAUUGUGGACAAUUGCUGUAUGCAACUUGUCUCAAAACCAGAACAAUUUGAUGUCAUGGUAACUCCUAAUCUUUACGGAAAUCUUGUUGCAAACACAGCAGCUGGUAUUGCUGGAGGCACUGGUGUCAUGCCAGGAGGUAAUGUUGGAGCUGAUCAUGCUGUCUUUGAGCAAGGCGCUUCAGCAGGGAAUGUGGGAAAAGAAAAGAUAGUAGAGCAAAAGAAGGCAAAUCCAGUGGCUUUGCUUCUCUCCUCUGCCAUGAUGUUGAGGCACCUCCAGUUUCCUUCAUUUGCUGAUCGACUCGAAACUGCAGUGAAACGUGUAAUAUUAGAAGGUAUGUACCGGAGUAAAGAUCUCGGUGGAGAUAGCAGUACACAGGAAGUUGUUGAUGCUGUCAUUGCUAAGCUAGACUGAUUGGUUGAACUCCUCCAUCAUGGACUCUUAAUAUUGUCAUUUGUACUCACAAAAAAGAGAGAUGGAGAUGAUGGUUCAUCCGCCAUGGGAGGAACUUCCUCAAGACAUAUGGGGUUUAAUCUUUCAGCGCCUCCCAUUAGUGGAUCGUGUUCACUCCAGCGUCGUAUGCAAACGAAUGGAGUGCAGCCCUAAAGCAAACUCCUCGACCCGCAUGGAAUCUACUGGACCUCGACGAUGAUAGCAAAGACUGGGAUCACAUGAUUAUGACCUACUUUGACUUGAGUGAAAGCACAAUUGGAAACCUGAAUCUCUCUGACCCAAUACCGAAAGGGGAUGCUACCGGGGCUUCCAAAGAUUGGCUUGUAGAACCAACGAGGGGCACGGCAACUAAUAAUCUACAAACUUUUCUGCUUGAUCCAAUUUCAGGGGUUCAAAUUCCACUGCCUCCCUUGUCAACAAUAACAUCGGCUUCAGGAGAUUCAAACGUCGUCCUUUAUAAAAUCCAGGAUGCAUCCCAAUUCGUGGUUGCAGCAAGCUUUGAUGAGGGCAAGAUCUUGGCAUUGUGCAGAGCAAACCAUAUUCGAAGGGCUAGAUCCAUCUUGAACAUUCUCUUGGAGAGGUAGAUCCCUUUGGCAGAACUUGGACGGCAACGCCAUACUUGGUGGACUCCAACGGUGAGUUGUUGAUAGUUUGUAAAAUAGUAAAUGACGAGGGUGACCAAGACGAUGAGCCUCAAACUCCAUACGAUCGGCUUACAACAUUCCAAGUAUUCAAGGUUGAAGCAAGUGAUACACCAUGUUUAAGGAAGUCAAGCAGCAUAGUUGACCAAACAUUGUUCAUCGAUGGAGCGGAUGCAGUAUCGCUGCCCAGUGAAUAUUUUGGUAGAAAUUGCAUCUAUUUUUUGGAAAAUUC
Molecule: RNA transcript, 2165 nt
Organism: Theobroma umbraticum
Lineage: Eukaryota; Viridiplantae; Streptophyta; Magnoliopsida; Malvales; Malvaceae
Gene name: isocitrate dehydrogenase [NAD] regulatory subunit 1, mitochondrial-like
Source: RefSeq, a predicted model, not a curated record